GACGAACGCUGGCGGCGUGCUUAACACAUGCAAGUCGAACGGAAAGGCCCUGCUUUUGUGGGGUGCUCGAGUGGCGAACGGGUGAGUAACACGUGAGUAACCUGCCCUUGACUUUGGGAUAACUUCAGGAAACUGGGGCUAAUACCGGAUAGGAGCUCCUGCUGCAUGGUGGGGGUUGGAAAGUUUCGGCGGUUGGGGAUGGACUCGCGGCUUAUCAGCUUGUUGGUGGGGUAGUGGCUUACCAAGGCUUUGACGGGUAGCCGGCCUGAGAGGGUGACCGGCCACAUUGGGACUGAGAUACGGCCCAGACUCCAACGGGAGGCAGCAGGGGGGAAUAGUGGACAAUGGGCGGAAGCCUGAUGCAGCAACGCCGCGUGCGGGAUGACGGCCUUCGGGUUGUAAACCGCGUUCGCCUGUGACGAAGCGUGAGUGACGGUAAUGGGUAAAGAAGCAACGGCUAACUACGUG
This 468-nucleotide ribosomal RNA is filed under the name uncultured bacterium. RNAcentral describes it as "partial 16S ribosomal RNA". It matches the Rfam family "Bacterial small subunit ribosomal RNA", at positions 28 to 507 of the family's 1533-position model. The record is from RNAcentral.